Molecule: non-coding RNA, 27 nt
Filed under: Mus musculus (house mouse)
Lineage: Eukaryota; Metazoa; Chordata; Mammalia; Rodentia; Muridae
Source: RNAcentral
UCCUCUGAGAGGCAUUCUGUUAGUGGG